This 134-nucleotide small nuclear RNA is filed under the name Pongo abelii (Sumatran orangutan). The record is from RNAcentral. Lineage: Eukaryota; Metazoa; Chordata; Mammalia; Primates; Hominidae.
GUGCUGGGAUUACAGGCAUGAGCCACUGCGCCCGGCCUAGCAUAUACAUUAAAAUUGGAUGAUACAAAGAAGAUUAGCAUGCCUCCUGUGAAAGGAUGACAUGCUGACAUGGAAAUUCGUGCUCCAUAUUUUUU